RNAcentral lists this transfer RNA (71 nucleotides) under Marmota monax (woodchuck). Its description in RNAcentral is "tRNA.Met". The record is from RNAcentral. Lineage: Eukaryota; Metazoa; Chordata; Mammalia; Rodentia; Sciuridae.
GGGGUUGUAGCUCAGUGGUGGAGUGCUCACCUCAUAUGUGUGAGGCCCUGUGUUCAAUCCUCAAUACCACA